Molecule: RNA transcript, 1732 nt
Organism: Rhinolophus ferrumequinum (greater horseshoe bat)
Lineage: Eukaryota; Metazoa; Chordata; Mammalia; Chiroptera; Rhinolophidae
Gene: KHDRBS3
Gene name: KH RNA binding domain containing, signal transduction associated 3
Exons: 12
Source: RefSeq, a predicted model, not a curated record
CGCGAGUUGCGGGGCCGCCGCUGCCCGCCCGCGUCGAGUCCGCGUCCGGGGCCCGGGCGGCCCGCGAGCAUGGAGGAGAAGUACCUGCCGGAGCUGAUGGCGGAGAAGGACUCCCUGGACCCCUCCUUCACACACGCUCUGCGGCUGGUGAACCAAGGAAGUUUCAGUAUACCAAAUUUUGUUGAAUCUUCUAACUAUGCUAAAGAAAUAGAAAAGUUUCAAAAAGGAGAAGGAAAGGACGAAGAAAAGUACAUCGAUGUGGUGAUCAAUAAGAACAUGAAGCUGGGACAGAAAGUGUUAAUUCCCGUGAAACAGUUUCCUAAGUUCAACUUUGUGGGGAAACUUUUGGGUCCUCGUGGCAAUUCUCUGAAGCGUUUACAAGAAGAAACCUUGACAAAAAUGUCCAUCCUUGGAAAAGGGUCCAUGAGAGACAAGGCAAAGGAAGAAGAGUUGAGGAAAAGUGGAGAAGCAAAGUACUUCCACCUCAAUGAUGACCUCCAUGUUCUCAUUGAGGUUUUUGCCCCGCCAGCGGAAGCGUAUGCCCGGAUGGGGCAUGCCUUGGAAGAAAUCAAGAAGUUCCUCAUUCCUGACUAUAAUGAUGAAAUCAGGCAAGCACAGCUCCAGGAAUUAACAUAUUUGAAUGGUGGUUCAGAAAAUGCAGAUGUACCGGUUGUCCGAGGGAAAUCCACCUUACGUACAAGAGGUGUACCAACUCAAACAAUAACCAGGGGAAGGGGAGGAGUCACAGCCCGGCCAAUUGGAGUUGGGGUACCAAGAGGGACGCCAACAUCCAGGGGCGUGCUUUCCACCCGAGGGCCAGUGAGUCGGGGAAGAGGACUUCUUACUCCCAGAGCAAGAGGAGUCCCCCCAACUGGAUACAGACCUCCGCCGCCACCCCCAACACCAGAGGCCUAUGGAGAUUAUGACUAUGAUGAUGGAUAUGGCACUGCUUAUGAUGAACAGAGUUACGAUUCCUAUGAUAACAGCUAUAGCACCCCAGCCCAAAGUGGUGCUGAUUACUAUGAUUAUGGCCAUGGACUCAGUGAAGAGACGUACGAUUCCUACGGGCAAGAGGAGUGGACUAGCUCAAGACACAAGGCACCUUCAGCCAGGACCGCCAAGGGCGUCUACAGAGAGCAGCCGUACGGCCGAUACUGAUUGUACUGUCGUUGUGACAUAGCCAAUCUCCACCCGUCCUGUGUACUGUUCAAAGAAAUGGCAGCCGUCUUGGAAAGCUGAAGGAGCUGGUGUGUCCCUGGAGCAGACACAGGAACUUUUCUCUAAUAAUGGACUGCUUAAGAAUAGUCAACUCACCAACGUGCCUAGUCAGUAAAUGAAUUCACUUGGGAACUUGAAAAUCAUCUUAGUAUUUUUUUUUUUUUGCACAAUUUUGUGUUCUGUGAAAUGCUUUAUAAAAUGGUAUGCUUUUUAAUUUGAAAAGCCUAUUAAACGAAAAAAAAAAAAGAGAAAAUCAAUCUUAUUUUGUUGUCUCCUAAUAAAAACCCCCAAUGCUUUGUGUAUUACGUAAUAAAGGCUGCCCCUUCAAAUCUCUUUUUCUUUACUAUUAACCAAGGAAAACAACAUCCGGUGAUUUCAGCGCAGCUCUAAAUUUGCACAUUUGAUAAGCGUGCAUGGCUGCAACUCACUGCAGGAAGUCAAGACUCUAUGCGUGUUUUGGAUUGAGAAUGAUUUAUCUGUCUCAGUUAUGGACCAAUAAAUAAGAAAGUGUUAU